GUUCCCAAGAUGGCGGCGUGGAGUUGCUGGUCCGCUGGAAAACAAUAGAAGCGGCGCUGAAGCAGCGAGUUAGCCGCGUUUCCACUCACCGCGCAGCCUCGUCCUCACCGCCCGCACACGGCCAGACUCUGGCCCGGACACGAGGAGGCUCAUCCGCGCCGGCGACCCGGGAGAAACACAGUUAAAGCAUGGUGCUUUAUUCAAAUGUUUCACGCUAGCCACCCCGCUAGCCGAGAUCGCUAGCCAUAACAUAGCGUUAGCAGCAGCUAGCGGCUAACGGCUAACGGAGGCGGAGGAUCAUCAGCUGUUCGACAGAUGCUUUAAGGAGAGCGGAGAGCAGCUACAGCUUCACGUGAGUGCCGCUGUGACUGAAGGCCAUUAGCAAGACAAAGGUGGCCUCCAUGGAGCCAGCACUGGAGUCUUUGUAAAGGGCGAGGGGGGUGUAUAGACACCCGCGCAGUGAAAAAGAGCCAGAUUCAGCAUUUUAUGGACGAAACCUGAGCCGGGGAGUUUUACUGCAAGUCUGUAUUGAUGAUGGCGGAUUUUGUUACACCGCGACACAGCGCGGUGAUGGAGAGGCUCCGCCGCAGGAUCGAGCUCUUCCGGCAGCACCACAACAGCUGCGAGAGUCGCUACGAGACGGCCACGCUGGAGCGGCUGGAGCUGGAGAGGCAGCAGACCUUCGCCCUGCACCAGCGCUGCCUGCAGGCCAAGGCCAAGCGCUCCAACAAGCACCGGCAGUCCCAGUCCAGCGGCGGCGACCAGGCCGCGCAGAGAGCGCCGGGCGGCGCCGGGGGAGGAGGCGGCGGCGGCGCAGAGAUGGUGGACGGCGGAGGGACGGGGGCGGAGCAGAGUCGGAACAGCACGCUGAUCGCGCUGCAGGAGACGGUGAAGAGGAAGCUGGAGAGCGCCGGGUCUCCGCUGGGCAGAGACCAGGUCAACGGCUUCACCGACGCCUUCCCCCCCAACAAGAAGGCGUGUCUGGACAACGGCACCGCCCACGGCUCCCCGCUCGACUCCAAGCUGGGCAUCGCCGACGCGCUCGGCUCUAACGGGACUCACAGGCUCAAGGCCGAGUCCACGGACGGAGGCGGCGAGGUGCCGGGUCUGGACUUCCAUCGGAAGGAGAUGAAGCAGGAGCCGGACGACAUCCUGCCCAUCGCGCCGCCGUCGGGAGGCGGGAACAACAACAACCUGUUCCCCGACUUCAACCUGAACGAGCAGGAGUGGACGGAGCUGAUGGAGGAGCUGAACUGCACCGUGGCCUACGAGGACAUCCAGGACAUCCUCAACGACGGCUUCGAGGACCGCAAAGACCCGCUGGAGCUGGCGCCCACGCCGGGCGGAGGUGGGGGGUCACUGGGAGGAGGAGGGUCCUCUCAGGGUCUACUUCCUCCCGACCUGUCCACGGUGAAGACGGAGUUCUCCCCGGCCUCGGUUGCUUUCGAGCAGGACUCUCGCACCGGGUCCCCCCACGUCAGGUCCACCUCGUCUGGACCGCCGCCUCCUCCUCACCCCAACAACUCCCCCGUCACCACCGCCUCCUCCGCCUCCUCUCCGGCUCUCCCACCGUCACAGCCGGCUCCUCCCCCACGGCAGCUUCAGCCUCCGCCCAACCACCACCUCCCUCCGGGGCCCCCGGGGCCCAAAGACCUGUCCCCGGCGCAGCAGCUGCAGCAGCUGGCGGCGCAGCAGCAGAGGGCGCAGCACCGCCACGGACAGAUGCAGCACAAACCGCCACAGCCGGGCACCAAGUUCCACACGCAGGGGCCACACCCCCACGCCCCACCCUGGCCCCAGAUGGCCAACACCUCGCAGAGCCCACUAGGGGGCGCGUUUGGUCUGGACAAGCCCACGAGUCCCUCCUUGUACCCGCAGGACUUUAACCCCGGCGCUCAGAAGCAGCAGCAACUGCUGAUGCCGGCUCCGCCCAACAAAGGCUCGCCAAAGGCGGCGCCCGGAGCCUACCUGCCGCCGCCCGGCGCCCACGCCAACAUGAUGGGACACGCCCCUUCAGGGCCGCCCCUCAACCACCCACCCACCCCCGGGGCCCAGGCCCCGCCCAACACACUGAACUACAACAACACCAAACCCUUGUCGCACUUUGAGGCGGGGCCAGGGCCGCCGAGGCCGCCGCCCAACACACAGAGUCAGAACAAGGCGGCGUUGCUGACGUUGCUGAGACAACAACAACAAAUCAAACAACAGAAGAACAACAACAACAACAUGAACUUCAGACAACACAUGACGCACACACAGGAGCAGAACAACUACCCGGCUCCUCCACACGGCCCGGGCGCCGCCAACACCAUGACGUCCGCGCCCGGAAACAACGGCAUGGUGGCCCCGCCGGGGGCCAACGCCAUGGCGGGUAACCACGGCAACGCGGCGUACCUGAGCAACCAGGCGGCGGUGGCAGCGGCGGUGCUGAAGCAGCAGCAGCAGCAGCAGCAGCAGCAGCAGCAGCAGCAGCAGUACCUGCAGAGGCAGCAGCUCAUGGCUGAACAGGAGAAGCAGCAGCAUCAGAGACGUCUGACCCGUCCUCCACCACAGUACCAGGACCAGCCGGGACAACCGGCCAAUCAGAACCCGUUCCCGCAGCAGCCAGUCAACCAGUUUACAGCAUCCUCUCAGCCAAUGGGCAGCCUCGGCUCCAUGGGAGGCCCCGCCCCUGGCUCCCAGCGUAUGUUCCCUCAGAACCAAGGCAUGAUGGGUAUGAACAUGAGUCAGGGCGGUGGGCCGGCAGGUGGCGUAGCUCCUCCCCCAGGGGCGAGUCAGCCCGACAUAAACCUGUCGUCCUGUGUUGGUGGAGGGGGCAGCGGAGGCGUGGACGUCCAGCAGGUUCUUUAUAACAACAUGAACCUUCACACUAACCACGCAGCGCCGCAGCAGCAGCAGCCGGGUCUGCAGCGCCAGCCUCUUGGCGCCAUGAGCGCCUCCUACAGGCAGAACUUGCUGGCUCAGCAGCAGCAGCAGCAGCACCUGAAGACGCAGCCGAACGCCGCCAUGCUCAAACAGCAGCAGCUCGCCGCUGCCGCUCGCAUGCCGGGAUCCAUGCAGAACAGCAUGGCCGCCAACAUGCCCGGUGCUCAGAGCGCCGCCUGGCAGCAGCAGCUCGCCAACCAGCCGCCGUCCAGUAACGCCGGCCUCCCGCCAAGCGCCUUCGCUAACACGCCCAACGCCUUCCACAUGCAGCAGCCGCGCAUUCCCAAGAUGCCGCAGGGCGGCGCACCCUUCGUCUCUAAUCCUGUAGGUCGUCCGAUGGUGGGCCUGAACCCCGGGCAGCAGAUGAUGCAGACCAACAUGGUGGCCGCCCAGCAGAGGGCGCCACCCAACCCGCAGAGCCUGGGGCAGCCGAUGACCAAUCAGCAGGCUCAGCAGCAGCAGGCCAACCAGAACCAGACCAUCCUGCUGGCCUCGUUCGGUCAGCCGCAGGGCAGCGGUCGCCAGGGACUGCAGUGUAACCAAGGUUACCAGGUGAGCAGGACGGCCGGUCAGCAGCAGCAGCAGGUGUCCUUCGGUUACAACAUGGCGUCCGGGAGCUUCGCCGCCGAGAGCGAGCUGGUGGACUCGCUGCUGAAGGGUCAGAGCACGCAGGAGUGGAUGGCCGACCUCGACGAGCUGCUCGCCAACCACCAUUAGUCUGACACGCCCCCUCUGCACCUGGAGCACCUGAACACUGCUGAGCUCAGAGGCGGAGCCGCCGCCUUCCGUCGCCAUGAAGAGACUGCUUCUGUGUUAGCAUUAGUCACCCAGCUAACGGGACGGGAGCAGCAGUCCAGCGGCGGUGUACGCUAGCGCGCAGGUGUCGGCUCACGGCCCCGAGCGUCUCAUAAACUCACGGUGGUCGUUUUCAAACUCCCUGAUUGGCUGAGGUGACGUCACGCUCUCAACGAGUCAGCGAGAAAAAACAAGAACAAAACGCGACAACCGCCACACGAGAGAAGACGAGGCGUUCAACGCCAAGGUCGCACAGUUGUCCCGCCGCCGCCCGAGACGCUAAAGUCCGGGGGGGGAAAAAAUCAUGGUCACAAAUGAAACCUGUGACGAGCAGAAACACCAGCGUCCGUUUAAAAAACGUUACACUUAUUUAACGUCGCAACACGACACGCGCACAUUCUGCUGACUCAUCAUGGCCGACCGCUAAAGAAGAAACAAAGUAAAGAAUGUUUCUUCUUCAGUUUCAGUAAAAACACUGACAUGGUCUGUUAUGAAGGAGGUCACGGUUACACAGACAGGAAGUACUGACAGAACGGACAGGAAGUACUGACAGGACAGGAAGUACUCAGAGACACGACUGACUUUUGUUUCUAAGUUGCAGGUUUUCAGAGUCGCGAUCAUUUCCUCUGGUUCGCGUGCGUUCAUAUGAAGUCGAGGUUUUUGCGUCAGUCCAGCGUUUGCGAACUCCUCACAUUCCGAUCCACACAGCGAACUGUCGCAACAUUUACGUGAAGCUGUGGAAAUGUGUCAUUAAAAGCUUUUAUUUUGAAAUGUUAAGCUCGUAUCUCUGAUGCUACGAGUCACAAACGCGACUGCUUGAUUUGGCGCCGACUAGUGUGACAGACGGGAACUUUGUUUUAACAAAGUAACAAUCUCCGACCUGUGACCGAUUUAGGGCGGACCUGUGACCGUGACUGAUUUAAGGCGGACCAGUGACCUUGUCUGAUUUAAGGCGGACCUGUGACCGUGUGUCUGUUUUACAGUAAACCUUUGACUGUGUCUGAUUUAAGGUGGACCUGUGACUGUGACUGAUUUAAGGCGGACCUGUGACCAUGUCUCGUCUGGUUUAAGGCAGAUUGUCUGAUUUAAGGCAGAUUGUCUGAUUUAAGGCGGACCUGUGACCAUGUCUGGUCUGGUUUAAGGCAGAUUGUCUGAUUUAAGGCGGACCUGUGACCAUGUCUGGUCUGGUUUAAGGCAGAUUGUCUGAUUUAAGGUGGACCUGUGAGCCGGUCGUUCUAUCUACUGUACUGUUAAGCGUCUCCAGACACACACACACACACACACACACACACCCAUGUGUCAUGUUAUAUAUUUCAUGUGUUCUAAUGUUAUUGAUCUGUACGUCGGAGCGGACACGUCACGUCUUCCUCGCCUCGCUCGCCCGCUCGGCCUCCUGUGUAAAUGUAUAAAUCUAUUUUUUGUAUGUAAACCUUUUUUCCUGAUGACGAGGAGAAGAUAGAAGUUAUUUUUAUAUAUUGCUGCGGAUGUUUUGUAAGUAUUUUAUACUUUUGAUAUGGUUCUCUGUAAAACAAGAGUAUUAUGUAAAUAUAGUUCUUUAGAAACAAA
RNA transcript from Solea senegalensis (Senegalese sole), 5286 nucleotides. It is a transcript of the gene named mastermind-like transcriptional coactivator 1, with no coding region annotated. NCBI's taxonomy places the organism in Eukaryota, Metazoa, Chordata, Actinopteri, Pleuronectiformes, Soleidae. The transcript is spliced from 7 exons. The record is from RefSeq and is a predicted model, not a curated record.